GUGGUGGUGCAGGAGCGGCGUGGAGGUGGCGGCGUGGCGCGGCAGUGUGCGUGGUGCCAGUGUGGGUGCCGGGAGAGGCGGGCAGCGCUGCGUCACUCUCCUCCUCGCACGGUACACCCUGUCGCUGUGGGGUCCUUGCAGCGUUCACCUCUCUGCGCCACACCCACACAAGGCCUGGCAGACCAUCACCUGCGAGGGCCUCGCCAGCCUUCACGCAUUUUACUACCACCAAGAUAAGUCAAAAGAGUUUCCAAUGCACCCCAACGCACCGCUCUCAAGUUUCCGAUGAGGAGCUAUUUUCAUGAUAUUUAAGCCUCUGAUUGUAAAAGUGAAGGCUGAAUCUUAUGUAAAAAUAGAAAAUCAUGGACUUCAACUUACGUAAUUGUGCAUAAUGGGAGGCAAUACUUAAUGAAAAAAAAUUCCAGAAAGCUUUUAACCACGAUCAGAUCAUAUUUUCCAAGUCACAUCAAUAGCUGAUGAUGAAAAGCAAUGGGAAAAAUAAAUAGAAAGAGGAAGACAGAAGACUCACCAACACAAGAGAUGAUGAUGAGAGACAGAAAGAAAAGAAAAGGAGGACAAGAAUAGAA
Portunus trituberculatus (swimming crab) is the source of this 587-nucleotide long non-coding RNA. RefSeq lists it as uncharacterized. The record is from RefSeq and is a predicted model, not a curated record. The transcript is spliced from 2 exons. Lineage: Eukaryota; Metazoa; Arthropoda; Malacostraca; Decapoda; Portunidae.